This 708-nucleotide ribosomal RNA is filed under the name Corynebacterium variabile. RNAcentral describes it as "bacterial SSU rRNA". It matches the Rfam family "Bacterial small subunit ribosomal RNA", at positions 71 to 795 of the family's 1533-position model. Lineage: Bacteria; Bacillati; Actinomycetota; Actinomycetes; Mycobacteriales; Corynebacteriaceae. The record is from RNAcentral.
AGGCCCUGCUUGCAGGGUACUCGAGUGGCGAACGGGUGAGUAACACGUGGGUGAUCUGCCCUGCACUUCGGGAUAAGCCUGGGAAACUGGGUCUAAUACCGGAUAGGACCAUCGUUUAGUGUCGGUGGUGGAAAGUUUUUCGGUGCAGGAUGAGCCCGCGGCCUAUCAGCUUGUUGGUGGGGUAAUGGCCUACCAAGGCGUCGACGGGUAGCCGGCCUGAGAGGGUGGACGGCCACAUUGGGACUGAGACACGGCCCAGACUCCUACGGGAGGCAGCAGUGGGGAAUAUUGCACAAUGGGCGCAAGCCUGAUGCAGCGACGCCGCGUGGGGGAUGAAGGCCUUCGGGUUGUAAACUCCUUUCAGCAGGGACGAAGCUUUUGUGACGGUACCUGCAGAAGAAGCACCGGCUAACUACGUGCCAGCAGCCGCGGUAAUACGUAGGGUGCGAGCGUUGUCCGGAAUUACUGGGCGUAAAGAGCUCGUAGGUGGUUUGUCGCGUCGUCUGUGAAAUUCCGGGGCUUAACUCCGGGCGUGCAGGCGAUACGGGCAUAACUUGAGUGCUGUAGGGGAGACUGGAAUUCCUGGUGUAGCGGUGAAAUGCGCAGAUAUCAGGAGGAACACCGAUGGCGAAGGCAGGUCUCUGGGCAGUUACUGACGCUGAGGAGCGAAAGCAUGGGUAGCGAACAGGAUUAGAUACCCUGGUAGUC